GCACAAUUUUACAUGAAACAUUACAUGACAACAUAGGAAAUAUAUAUUUUCUAUGUUGGUUAGUGACACAUAAUUCCAAAAAGCAUCUCCUCCAGAAUUAUAAGUCAUUUUAUGACUAGGCACAGCUUUUGAAAAAUGCUUUCGAUGAAAAACAAACUUCCCAUUUUCAUCAUCAUCCUAAUGAUCAACACCUAAGCCCUUAUUUUGGGAUAUAUAAGCCAAGUAUAACUGGGAAAAUAUCAAAUCAGUUUGGGACUUGCUGAAAACUGUGAACCAGGAGCUGCAGAAAAAACUUAGACAAGAUGAUUCACGAAUUUUAUAACAAUGAGUUCGAUCGACUUUCCACACAAAUUGCACCACUGAUUGUUAUUGAGGGAGAGUAUCGAGAGGAUGAGCGUUCUGGAGUUUCAUAUGAUUUACACAUGCGAGAG
This is a long non-coding RNA of Aphidius gifuensis, 431 nucleotides long. RefSeq lists it as uncharacterized. NCBI's taxonomy places the organism in Eukaryota, Metazoa, Arthropoda, Insecta, Hymenoptera, Braconidae. The transcript is spliced from 3 exons. The record is from RefSeq and is a predicted model, not a curated record.